CCUACGGGAGGCAGCAGUGAGGAAUAUUGGUCAAUGGACGCAAGUCUGAACCAGCCAUGCCGCGUGCAGGAUGACGGCUCUAUGAGUUGUAAACUGCUUUUGUACGAGGGUAAACGCAGAUACGCGUAUCUGUCUGCAAGUAUCGUACGAAUAAGGAUCGGCUAACUCCGUGCCAGCAGCCGCGGUAAUACGGAGGAUUCAAGCGUUAUCCGGAUUUAUUGGGUUUAAAGGGUGCGUAGGCGGGCGGUUAAGUUAGAGGUGAAAUCCCGAGGCUCAACUUCAGAAUUGCCGUUGAUACUGGUCGGCUAGAGAGCAGUUGCGGUAGGCGGAAUGUAUGGUGUAGCGGUGAAAUGCUUAGAGAUCAUACAGAACACCGAGUGCGAAGGCAGCUUACCAAGCUACUUCUGACGUUGAGGCACGAAAGCGUGGGGAGUAAACAGGAUUAGAUACCCGGGUAGUC
Molecule: ribosomal RNA, 460 nt
Filed under: uncultured bacterium
Lineage: Bacteria
Description: partial 16S ribosomal RNA
Rfam family: Bacterial small subunit ribosomal RNA
Source: RNAcentral